CUACGGGGGGCAGCAGUGGGGAAUUUUGGACAAUGGGCGAAAGCCUGAUCCAGCAAUGCCGCGUGAGUGAAGAAGGCCUUCGGGUUGUAAAGCUCUUUUGUCAGGGAAGAAACGGUGAGAGCUAAUAUCUCUUGCUAAUGACGGUACCUGAAGAAUAAGCACCGGCUAACUACGUGCCAGCAGCCGCGGUAAUACGUAGGGUGCAAGCGUUAAUCGGAAUUACUGGGCGUAAAGCGUGCGCAGGCGGUUUUGUAAGUCUGAUGUGAAAUCCCCGGGCUCAACCUGGGAAUUGCAUUGGAGACUGCAAGGCUAGAAUCUGGCAGAGGGGGGUAGAAUUCCACGUGUAGCAGUGAAAUGCGUAGAUAUGUGGAGGAACACCGAUGGCGAAGGCAGCCCCCUGGGUCAAGAUUGACGCUCAUGCACGAAAGCGUGGGGAGCAAACAGGAUUAGAUACCCUGGUAGUCCACGCCCUAAACGAUGUCUACUAGUUGUCGGGUCUUAAUUGACUUGGUAACGCAGCUAACGCGUGAAGUAGACCGCCUGGGGAGUACGGUCGCAAGAUUAAAACUCAAAGGAAUUGACGGGGACCCGCACAAGCGGUGGAUGAUGUGGAUUAAUUCGAUGCAACGCGAAAAACCUUACCUACCCUUGACAUGGCUGGAAUCCUCGAGAGAUUGAGGAGUGCUCGAAAGAGAACCAGUACACAG
Molecule: ribosomal RNA, 707 nt
Filed under: uncultured bacterium
Lineage: Bacteria
Description: bacterial SSU rRNA
Rfam family: Bacterial small subunit ribosomal RNA
Source: RNAcentral